GCUGAAAUGUUCCAGUGAUGCUCACCCUCCUGCUAACAGCUUUUGGCACAACGAAACAGGCGCUGAGCUGCAUAAAGGAAACAUCUACACUGUGCACAAUGUCUCUAGGCACACAGGAGGAAACCUGUUCUGCACUGCCAUCAAUGAAGAAGGACAACGCAAAUCAAAGCCAGUGAAGCUCAAUGUGUUAUAUGCUCCUGAGAUCAAAAUUGCCUCUUCGUGCUCCUCAGAAGGGAAUGUGGGAAAGUGUGUGUGCAUCGCAGAGUCCAGGCCUCCCAGCAUGGUCCAUUUUGUGCUUGCUGGCAAAGUCCUGCAAAGCACCAAAGUGGAGAAACAUGGCUUGCUCACCAUCGGGACCCUGCAGGCAGACGUCGGGUCUUCCAAGUUUGUGAGCUGUGUGGCCAACAACAGUCUGGGCAACGCCAACGUCACGCUCUCUUUGACUGUGAACGGUGACAUGCAGUAUAUGUUCAUCGGCAUCGGAGCAGGAGUGAUUUUGGUGCUACUUUUAAUAGCAGUGGGAGUUGCUAAGAAAUGUAGGGGGAGACCUGCAGACACACCAGCAUGUACCAUGAACAGCAUGAAGGCAGAGAAAGCUGUGGAUCUCCCUCAGUACGCCACAACGAAAAGAUUUCCCCCCAGUUCGGAAAAAGACAGCUAUGAUGAUGUAAGCUGCGGUGGCAUUUAUGCUAAUGAUCAUGUAUAUGGCAACAUGGAGGCUGAUGGGGAUGAUGCCAUAUACGCCAAU
Long non-coding RNA from Amphiprion ocellaris (clown anemonefish), 748 nucleotides. The record is from Ensembl. Lineage: Eukaryota; Metazoa; Chordata; Actinopteri; Pomacentridae.